RNAcentral lists this ribosomal RNA (733 nucleotides) under uncultured bacterium. RNAcentral describes it as "bacterial SSU rRNA". It matches the Rfam family "Bacterial small subunit ribosomal RNA", at positions 788 to 1529 of the family's 1533-position model. The record is from RNAcentral.
UGGUAGUCCACGCAGUAAACGAUGAAUACUAACUGUCCGGGCAGAAUGAUGCCUGGGUGGUACAGCGAAAGCGUUAAGUAUUCCACCUGGGGAGUACGCCGGCAACGGUGAAACUCAAAGGAAUUGACGGGGGCCCGCACAAGCGGAGGAACAUGUGGUUUAAUUCGAUGAUACGCGAGGAACCUUACCCGGGCUCAAACGACGGAUGGAUGUUUCUGAAAGGAGGCAGUCCUACGGGACAUCCGUCGAGGUGCUGCAUGGUUGUCGUCAGCUCGUGCCGUGAGGUGUCGGCUUAAGUGCCAUAACGAGCGCAACCCCCAUCGCCAGUUACCAGCAAGUAAAGCUGGGGACUCUGGCGAGACUGCCGGCGCAAGCUGUGAGGAAGGCGGGGAUGACGUCAAAUCAGCACGGCCCUUACGUCCGGGGCGACACACGUGUUACAAUGGCAGGUACAGAGAGAAGCGAUGCGGCGACGCAGAGCGGAACUUCAAAGCCUGUCUCAGUUCGGAUUGGAGUCUGCAACCCGACUCCAUGAAGCUGGAUUCGCUAGUAAUCGCGCAUCAGCCACGGCGCGGUGAAUACGUUCCCGGGCCUUGUACACACCGCCCGUCAAGCCAUGGAAGCCGGGAGUGCCUGAAGUGUGCAACCGCAAGGAGCGCCCUAGGGUAAAACCGGUGACUGGGGCUAAGUCGUAACAAGGUAGCCGUACCGGAAGGUGCGGCUGGAUCACCUC